This is a long non-coding RNA of Pseudopipra pipra, 3200 nucleotides long. RefSeq lists it as uncharacterized. The record is from RefSeq and is a predicted model, not a curated record. The transcript has 2 exons. NCBI's taxonomy places the organism in Eukaryota, Metazoa, Chordata, Aves, Passeriformes, Pipridae.
UCGGUGCCGCCGGGGCACGGCGGGCGGGCGGGCAGCGGCGGGGGCAGCGGGAGAGCCGGGCUGCCGUGCGGGAGCGGGGACACCGACCGCGGCCGGGGACAGCUGGGCACAUCCAGAAUUAGAUGUACAUGUGUAUCACGCAUAUCUCCCGGAGGAAAGGGGCAGGGGGCCGAUGCUCGAAGCGCAGAGAGGCGAGGCGGGUGGGCAGCUCCCCGCUGCCGGGCGCGGGAGGGUCCGCGGGGCCGCAGCCGCUGCCCGGAGGGCGCCCAGCACCGCGCGGCCUCCCGCAGCCCCCGCCCGGCUCCGCGGGAUGCCCCCGCAGCUUUCAAUGAAAUCCAAUUCAUAAAUUGGACAUGCUCAGGCUCAGAAGACUAAUUCAUCCCCUAAAACAAACGCAUCAGUGAUUGCAGGCACCCAAACGUGACAAGCGUCUCAAUAUACCGAGGAACCAGAGAAAACAAAUUCAUUCAGGAGCCCGAAACGUAAUUAAAACUACUGCCAAGAAAAUUAGUUGAGUGCAGGAUGUUACCAAGAUUAUUAAGUUGCUGUAGGGCUGAGGCACGGACCGCUAUAGCGAUACAUAGAGAUAAUGUCAGCCUUUGGAUAACGGGAAGCAGAGCGAUUCCUGGAGGUCGCAGUCUUGCAAGCGCAAGCCUGGUAACAGCGCGCUGUGGCCGCAUCCUGCUCUCGGGAAGCGAAAGGCAGAGCCCGAGGGCUCGGCAGGGAAUGACCGGGUCCCCGCCGCCUGCUGAGCCCCGGGAGGCUGGUCACGGAGGGUCCGGCGGCACCCGGACCCCUGUCACUUACUAUAGCAUCCCUGUGACGUCUGUUCAGCACACUUUUUGUAACCAUCACCUGUAUAUGCUCUAGUAAAUUCUCCGGAUACUUAGCAUUGCUUGCUUGCAGGAGCGAUAGCUGCAAUGUAUUUAUUCCAUAUAGAAAAUAUUUUUUUUCCAUGCAGAGCACAGUACAACAAGAACUGCUCAAUGCUAAAGGAGUAGGAAAUCUAGAUAAGCUUUACAGUGGCUGGGGAGGCAGAAGGGGGAGGGAACACACAGUAUAGAUGGAGCAGAGUGAAAGGGAAGGAAACCAAAAUGGAAAUGAUACGAACAAGAAUCCCUGUUGAUCCACAUGCAUCAACAACCUCUUAUUCAGUGGUAGUUACAAGCACAGCUUUUGAACAGGGAAGAGCAGAGGGUAAAUAAAACAAGAUAUGGUUUUUAAAAAUAAAUCACUUGUUAACUACUCUUACUUACAGUCCUUGUCUUAAAUAUGCAAUUUCACACUGAUCAAUGCAGAAUGAUAUAUACUAUACUCUGCAUUUCAUGUAAUAAAAACACUUAAUCCAGAUAAUUGGCUUCUGGGACAGAGAUCAAUAGAAAUGUUCCUUAUUUGACUACGUUAGCAAGUCAAAAUUAAUUCUAAUUUACAUUUGCUUCAAAUCAAUACGCACUUAGUGACUUACACAGGCUCUUUAAAAAGUUAAGCACCUAUAUUGACCAGAGUCAUAUAUAUGUCAGUAACAAGUACAUGUGUGGGAAUUAGAGAGGGGGAAAGUGUUACCACAGAACCAGUCUCUGACUUUCAUAGAGUAAAGGAGGCUAAAUUUAUUUGUGUUUGAGUAGUGCUUUGGCAUCCUAGCCUGAAAGCUGUAGAAACAUGCAGCUGUUAACCCUGUGAUUUGUGCAGGCACCCAAGCACCCAUCAGUAGCACUCCAAGCACUUGGGAGCAGGUUUGCCUCUUUCUGUAGUUUGCACAGUGAGGUCCUGACCUCAGCUCGGAUGCCUCUGGCUGCUAUUUUAGUAAUAAUGAAAUAGUAAUAUAAAAUAUUAAAAAUCUAAACCCAGUGAAUUGGACAAGUUACAAAAUUUCCUGUGAACUCCAUGAGCAAACACUCUGCAUGCAGAAAAGGAUCCAGUCCCAGCCAAGGGAGGGAUGGGGGAAAGACAAGAGCCCAGAAUACUGUAGAACAGACCAACUGAAACAGGCCCCAAAACUGGGUAGAAGGCUAUAGUCAGAGGACAACAACAAACAAGAAAAAUGCCUAGAAGAAAUCUCAAGUGCCAUAAAAUCUGAUAUGCAACAUGCAAAGUACAAUGAGACCUAAAUGGAUCCACCACAGUAAAGAGCAGAACUGCAAGUUCAGUAGAGUCUCUUCAGGAUGAAGAGUUGCAGCAGUCAGGCUCCAUUGCCUUUUCUUUCCCAUUAUUUGCAUAAUUUUUUUCUUUCUCCUCUCCCACCACUCUUUUUUUUUUUUUUAACAACAACAACAAAAAAAAAAAAGCCAAGAACUUUGACUUGGAUUAUGUCUUCCAUAACACUUACUGAUUCCCCUGUGAUUUCCCUCCUUCCCAAAAAAGCUAUCAAUGUUACAUUUCUAAGCCCAGUAUAAAUGAGACCACUCAUUUCAAUUCUGCCACUCAUCAUUUGCCAUCAGGAGAGUGCUGACAUUUUGCAGAGGGUGAACAUUGUUUAGAUGCAGCAAGCAACACUAAAAGGCUAAUCCAUUUGCCAACAUUUUGCAUAUUAAGAAUGUUGUAGGUCACUGUGAUAUUCCAUCAUCAUUGCAUAGGGGACUCAUAGCACAUUAUUACCCAAGGUACCACUGGAUUUACAGUGCCAAUGGAAGAAUGGCAUCUCAUUAGCAAUAUGUAACAUAAAUACCCAACUCAAGUGACAGACACCACUCAAAAUUCAACUCUGUGGCAACAGAUGUGAUUCUAUGCAGAUUUCAGACAGCUCUAUUACCUUUGCAAACCACUGUGGUGAUUUUAGGCUUACCUAUCAUGAGUUAUUGCUGUGCUUAUUGCUGUUAUCUGAAUGAACACGGUAUGAAACCUGUACCAAAUGGGGUUUGCUACCACAAGAGAAUGGCCUGAGUAAUGCUCCAAAAACUACAUUGCAAAUAGAAACAUAAAGUAUCCUAUAAAGGUAAACUGAAAGGUUUGUGCAGUGCCACACUCAGAGCCUUGUGCCCAGGGCUCUGUCCCUCUGUGCUACCACAGCAAGAAUGAAGCACGUUUUGAAAGACAACAUCAGAACUCUGGCUGCAGGACAUGCCUGGGUCUGGAAAGCCCCUCACGUUCACUGAGCAUUUACAAAGCUGCUUCAUAAGCAGGAACUCCACAAGACCAUAACAUUGAGACUGUUUUCAUACUAUACCCUAUGCUCAGAAUAAAUGGAGUGCUUUAAGAUUCAA